UAGUUUCUAUAGUUGAAUUACAAGGUGGUUUUUCAGAUCACAAGUUCUGGUUAAAGUCCUGAUAGGAAUU
This 70-nucleotide transfer RNA is filed under the name Xenopus borealis (Kenyan clawed frog). Its description in RNAcentral is "tRNA-Glu". Lineage: Eukaryota; Metazoa; Chordata; Amphibia; Anura; Pipidae. The record is from RNAcentral.